This 1539-nucleotide long non-coding RNA is filed under the name Phascolarctos cinereus (koala). RNAcentral's name for it is "lncRNA (ENSPCIG00000037376.1)". Lineage: Eukaryota; Metazoa; Chordata; Mammalia; Diprotodontia; Phascolarctidae. The record is from RNAcentral.
UAUCUUUCCAUGAGGACCAUCUACAGUUGUUCUGAAUUAUAUCUUGCCACUGGCCCCAGACAGCUCCAGAGAAGAAAGUGAGGCUGAUGACUCUGCACAGUUCUGCCUCCCUUACAUCCAAUUCACUUAAAAGUGGUGGCAUCAUCUUCCACAGCCCUUGAGAACGAAGGACAAACAACAACAAGGUCCUUCCAUAGAUUUGCCACAGGGUGAAAAAAGUCUCUCCCCCAAAUUCUGAUAUAAUUGGAGGGGUAACCUAGGAAACUUGUCCACCAGUAUAUAGAUCUGGGGAAAACAGGACCAAUGGUCAGGAUCCAGCAAAGCUUAGGCACCCAAGACGCCAGGAAAGGAGAAACAGGAAGACUAGGAAAGAGCCAAAGAAAAGAACAUCUGCAUUGGCCUGACCCCUCCAUCCAUCCCCCUCUUCCUGAGGCUCAGGACUCACAGGGCUGGGCCUCCAAAGGGCAAUUCAGGCUCCCUGUUAAGGGCAAACACUUUGCUGUCUGCAGAAAUGCCUUGAACUCAGGGAAGAAGACCACUGAACACAAGCUAUGGGGCAGAGACACUGGCAUGCUCUGGACCUGGGGGACUAAGUCUGCAGGAGAGAUUUCCCCAACCACCCCUGUGUGUUACCACUUCAUUACAACUGUCACAACCCAUCCUGGAACAAUGGCUGGGGCAAAUUACUUAACCUCUCUAGUCCUGAAUUCCUUCCUGUAAAAUAAGAGGUCUGGACUUAAAUGACCUCCAAGAUCCUGGGACUCUCCAAUCCACUAGGGACCUUCCUCCAUUACAGCAUGCAAUCUAUUCAACUGGAGGCAGCUAGGCACUCAGUGACUAGAGAUCCAGGGCCAAAGUCAAAAAGACUCAAGUUCAGAUUUGACAUCAGACACACUUAUUAGCUAGGGGACUCUAGGCAAAGCACUUAACCUGGCUGCCUCAGUUUCCUCAACUGUAAAAUGGGGCUAAUAGCACCUACCUCCCAGGGUUAUUGUGAGGGUUAAAAAAGACAUUUAUAAAAGCACUUGGCACAGUGCCCAAAAUGUAGUAGGUACUUAAAUGUUCAUUCCCUCUUUUCCUUCCUGUUAUCCCUCACUCUAGGGUGGUGUGGUAGAGUGCCAGGUCUGUUGUAAGGAAGACCUGAGUUCAAAUUUGGCCUCAGAUACUUAUUAGCUAUGUGAUCCUGGGCAAGUCACUUAACCCUGUCUGCCUCAAUUUCCUCUUCUGUAAAAUGAGCUGGAGAAGGAACUGGCAAACAACUCCAGUAUUGUUGCCAAGAAAAUUCUAAAUGGGUCAUGAAUACAACUGAACAACAUUAUUUUAGGAUAUCUUCUGCAAUGCUAAAAUCUACUACUACAAAAGAAUCUAGAGGAAACUGAGUCAUGAAAUUUAACUAAAUUAAUUCAAUAUAAUAACACAGCAGUAGAUCUAUCUGGUCAGUCAUUAACAUUUAUUAAGCAUCUGUAUGCCAAGAAUUGUGCUAAGCACUGUGAAUACAAAGAACAAUAAAAGAUAGCCCUUGCCCUCUAGUAGCUAACA